UACGUAGGGGGCAAGCGUUAUCCGGAUUUACUGGGUGUAAAGAGAGCGUAGACGGCUGUGCAAGCCAGAUGUGAAAGCCCGGGGCUCAACCCCGGGACUGCAUUUGGAACUGUGUAGCUGGAGUGUCGGAGAGGCAGGCGGAAUUCCUAGUGUAGCGGUGAAAUGCGUAGAUAUUAGGAGGAACGCCAGUGGCGAAGGCGGCCUGCUGGACGAUGACUGACGUUGAGGCUCGAAAGCGUGGGGAGCAAACAGG
Molecule: ribosomal RNA, 253 nt
Filed under: uncultured bacterium
Lineage: Bacteria
Description: partial 16S ribosomal RNA
Rfam family: Bacterial small subunit ribosomal RNA
Source: RNAcentral